ACGUGACCGAGCGACGCCGUGUGUGGGAUGAAGGCCUUCGGGUUGUAAACCACUGUCGUAGAGGAGGAAGUUGAUUGGGGUUCUCCCCAGUCAUUGACCUAUUCUAGGAGGAAGGACGGGCUAAGUACGUGCCAGCAGCCGCGGUAAUACGUACCGUCCAAACGUUAUUCGGAAUUACUGGGCUUAAAGGGUACGUAGGCGGCGCUGUCAGUCGGGUGUGAAAGCCCUCGGCUCAACCGAGGAAUUGCGCCCGAUACUGCAGUGCUUGAGGGAGACAGAGGUAAGCGGAACUGAUGGUGGAGCGGUGAAAUGCGUUGAUAUCAUCAGGAACACCAGUGGCGAAAGCGGCUUACUGGGUCUCUUCUGACGCUGAGGUACGAAAGCUAGGGGAGCGAAGGGGAUUAGAUACCCCCGUAGUCCUAGCCGUAAACGUUGAGCACUUGAUCGAGGAUCCCCCCAUAGGUUCCCGGUCGUAGCGAAAGUGUUAAGUGCUCCGCCUGGGGAGUAUGGUCGCAAGGCUG
Molecule: ribosomal RNA, 521 nt
Filed under: uncultured Planctomycetota bacterium
Lineage: Bacteria; Pseudomonadati; Planctomycetota
Description: bacterial SSU rRNA
Rfam family: Bacterial small subunit ribosomal RNA
Source: RNAcentral